Non-coding RNA from Labrus bergylta (ballan wrasse), 731 nucleotides. Lineage: Eukaryota; Metazoa; Chordata; Actinopteri; Labriformes; Labridae. The record is from RefSeq and is a predicted model, not a curated record.
GCUGCUGCGCAUCAAGCUCAGGUGUGCUCCUCAGGUGCGCCAAAGUUUAAUAUCGACCCUGGACCACUCGAGCGGAUGACGGGUGUCCGAGUUUGGAUGAAAAUGCUGCGAAAAGAAGCAUUGGUUGAACUCAGAAUGCAGGGUUUUCUUCUUGUUUCUUUGUACAGGUGUGUGCAGGUGUUUCCUCGCUCUGUGCUGCAGCUCAGAGGAGGAGCUGUGCCGGCUGCAAACGGAGAACCAGCUGAAGAAGGAGGUGAAGGAGGUGCUGCAGGCGCUGGAGGAGCUCGCCGUCAACUACGACCAGAAGAGCCAAGAGGUGGAGGAGAGAGAGAGACAUGAUGGAGACGAGGACAUCAAGGAACUCUGUUAACGUCUUCCAGGAGGAUCCCCGUUGGUGGCCGUCUUCCUGCUCAGGUAGGAGACUCAAAGCUUUCUUAAUGUUGUUUUAUUAUGUUCCAGGUUUUAGGUCUUAUAGAUGUUUAGACUCAGUUAUUUUAAUCAGCUACUAAGAAGUCGAUUUAGAGUGGAGGAACAUCAACCUGGAACAUAAAACAACAUUAAGAAAGCUUUUGAGCUCCUACCCAAUGGGGCUGGAGGAUAGUGGGGGGGGGGGACUGGCUGGAUGUAACCCCCUCACCUGUGACACCUUAUUGUAUUGUGCUGAUGUAACAUGUACAAAACACAGAGGUCAUGAUGUCUGUUCAAUAUUUUAUUGUAAUAAAACUACUGCU